Molecule: long non-coding RNA, 223 nt
Filed under: Elaeis guineensis (African oil palm)
Lineage: Eukaryota; Viridiplantae; Streptophyta; Magnoliopsida; Arecales; Arecaceae
Description: long non-coding RNA (EGUI_LNC054162)
Source: RNAcentral
UGGGACUAUAGAACAUCUAAUACUCUUACUACCUCUACUAGAGAACCAUAUUGUCUUAAUCUCUAUAUAUUCAAAUCAGAAGAAAACCUUUACCCUUUGGAAGCACAUAUUCUAAGCUCCAAUAUUCUAGACCUAAUAAAAUCCCUUCCAAAAGAAAACUUUCAUAUUCCCAAGAUAGGAGAAAAGGAUCAAGUUUAUCAUGAAAAAAUUCUGACUCAACCAA